GGUUAAGCGACUAAGCGUACACGGUGGAUGCCCUGGCAGUCAGAGGCGAUGAAGGACGUGCUAAUCUGCGAUAAGCGUCGGUAAGGUGAUAUGAACCGUUAUAACCGGCGAUUUCCGAAUGGGGAAACCCAGUGUGAUUCGUCACACUAUCAUUAACUGAAUCCAUAGGUUAAUGAGGCGAACCGGGGGAACUGAAACAUCUAAGUACCCCGAGGAAAAGAAAUCAACCGAGAUUCCCCCAGUAGCGGCGAGCGAACGGGGAGCAGCCCAGAGCCUGAAUCAGUGUGUGUGUUAGUGGAAGCGUCUGGAAAGGCGCGCGAUACAGGGUGACAGCCCCGUACACAAAAAUGCACAUACUGUGAGCUCGAUGAGUAGGGCGGGACACGUGGUAUCCUGUCUGAAUAUGGGGGGACCAUCCUCCAAGGCUAAAUACUCCUGACUGACCGAUAGUGAACCAGUACCGUGAGGGAAAGGCGAAAAGAACCCCGGCGAGGGGAGUGAAAAAGAACCUGAAACCGUGUACGUACAAGCAGUGGGAGCACAGAGCAAUCUGUGUGACUGCGUACCUUUUGUAUAAUGGGUCAGCGACUUAUAUUCUGUAGCAAGGUUAACCGAAUAGGGGAGCCGAAGGGAAACCGAGUCUUAACUGGGCGUUAAGUUGCAGGGUAUAGACCCGAAACCCGGUGAUCUAGCCAUGGGCAGGUUGAAGGUUGGGUAACACUAACUGGAGGACCGAACCGACUAAUGUUGAAAAAUUAGCGGAUGACUUGUGGCUGGGGGUGAAAGGCCAAUCAAACCGGGAGAUAGCUGGUUCUCCCCGAAAGCUAUUUAGGUAGCGCCUCGUGAAUUCAUCUCCGGGGGUAGAGCACUGUUUCGGCAAGGGGGUCAUCCCGACUUACCAACCCGAUGCAAACUGCGAAUACCGGAGAAUGUUAUCACGGGAGACACACGGCGGGUGCUAACGUCCGUCGUGAAGAGGGAAACAACCCAGACCGCCAGCUAAGGUCCCAAAGUCAUGGUUAAGUGGGAAACGAUGUGGGAAGGCCCAGACAGCCAGGAUGUUGGCUUAGAAGCAGCCAUCAUUUAAAGAAAGCGUAAUAGCUCACUGGUCGAGUCGGCCUGCGCGGAAGAUGUAACGGGGCUAAACCAUGCACCGAAGCUGCGGCAGCGACGCUUAUGCGUUGUUGGGUAGGGGAGCGUUCUGUAAGCCUGCGAAGGUGUGCUGUGAGGCAUGCUGGAGGUAUCAGAAGUGCGAAUGCUGACAUAAGUAACGAUAAAGCGGGUGAAAAGCCCGCUCGCCGGAAGACCAAGGGUUCCUGUCCAACGUUAAUCGGGGCAGGGUGAGUCGACCCCUAAGGCGAGGCCGAAAGGCGUAGUCGAUGGGAAACAGGUUAAUAUUCCUGUACUUGGUGUUACUGCGAAGGGGGGACGGAGAAGGCUAUGUUGGCCGGGCGACGGUUGUCCCGGUUUAAGCGUGUAGGCUGGUUUUCCAGGCAAAUCCGGAAAAUCAAGGCUGAGGCGUGAUGACGAGGCACUACGGUGCUGAAGCAACAAAUGCCCUGCUUCCAGGAAAAGCCUCUAAGCAUCAGGUAACAUCAAAUCGUACCCCAAACCGACACAGGUGGUCAGGUAGAGAAUACCAAGGCGCUUGAGAGAACUCGGGUGAAGGAACUAGGCAAAAUGGUGCCGUAACUUCGGGAGAAGGCACGCUGAUAUGUAGGUGAAGCGACUUGCUCGUGGAGCUGAAAUCAGUCGAAGAUACCAGCUGGCUGCAACUGUUUAUUAAAAACACAGCACUGUGCAAACACGAAAGUGGACGUAUACGGUGUGACGCCUGCCCGGUGCCGGAAGGUUAAUUGAUGGGGUUAGCGCAAGCGAAGCUCUUGAUCGAAGCCCCGGUAAACGGCGGCCGUAACUAUAACGGUCCUAAGGUAGCGAAAUUCCUUGUCGGGUAAGUUCCGACCUGCACGAAUGGCGUAAUGAUGGCCAGGCUGUCUCCACCCGAGACUCAGUGAAAUUGAACUCGCUGUGAAGAUGCAGUGUACCCGCGGCAAGACGGAAAGACCCCGUGAACCUUUACUAUAGCUUGACACUGAACAUUGAGCCUUGAUGUGUAGGAUAGGUGGGAGGCUUUGAAGUGUGGACGCCAGUCUGCAUGGAGCCGACCUUGAAAUACCACCCUUUAAUGUUUGAUGUUCUAACGUUGACCCGUGAUCCGGGUUGCGGACAGUGUCUGGUGGGUAGUUUGACUGGGGCGGUCUCCUCCUAAAGAGUAACGGAGGAGCACGAAGGUUGGCUAAUCCUGGUCGGACAUCAGGAGGUUAGUGCAAUGGCAUAAGCCAGCUUGACUGCGAGCGUGACGGCGCGAGCAGGUGCGAAAGCAGGUCAUAGUGAUCCGGUGGUUCUGAAUGGAAGGGCCAUCGCUCAACGGAUAAAAGGUACUCCGGGGAUAACAGGCUGAUACCGCCCAAGAGUUCAUAUCGACGGCGGUGUUUGGCACCUCGAUGUCGGCUCAUCACAUCCUGGGGCUGAAGUAGGUCCCAAGGGUAUGGCUGUUCGCCAUUUAAAGUGGUACGCGAGCUGGGUUUAGAACGUCGUGAGACAGUUCGGUCCCUAUCUGCCGUGGGCGCUGGAGAACUGAGGGGGGCUGCUCCUAGUACGAGAGGACCGGAGUGGACGCAUCACUGGUGUUCGGGUUGUCAUGCCAAUGGCACUGCCCGGUAGCUAAAUGCGGAAGAGAUAAGUGCUGAAAGCAUCUAAGCACGAAACUUGCCCCGAGAUGAGUUCUCCCUGACCCUUUAAGGGUCCUGAAGGAACGUUGAAGACGACGACGUUGAUAGGCCGGGUGUGUAAGCGCAGCGAUGCGUUGAGCUAACCGGUACUAAUGAACCGUGAGGCUUAACCUU
RNAcentral lists this ribosomal RNA (2906 nucleotides) under Escherichia coli. Its description in RNAcentral is "23S ribosomal RNA". It matches the Rfam family "Bacterial large subunit ribosomal RNA". Lineage: Bacteria; Pseudomonadati; Pseudomonadota; Gammaproteobacteria; Enterobacterales; Enterobacteriaceae. The record is from RNAcentral.